GAAAUGAGAUAAGUAAUGUGAAUUGCAGAAUUCAGUGAAUCAUCGAAUCUUUGAACGCACCUUGCGCUCCUUGGUAUUCCUUGGAGCAUGCCUGUUUGAGUAUCAUGAAAUCUUCAAAGUAAAUCUUUUGUUAACUCAAUUGGUUUCUACUUUGGUAUUGGAGGUCUUUGCAGCUUCACACCUGCUCCUCUUUGUUCAUUAGCUGGAUCUCAGUGUUAUGCUUGGUUCCACUCGGCGUGAUAAGUUAUCUAUCGCUGAGGACACUGUAAAAGGUGGCCAAGGUAAAUGCAGAUGAACCGCUUCUAAUAGUCCAUUGACUUGGACAAUACUUUUAUGAUCUGAUCUCAAAUCAGGUAGGACUACCCUCUGAACUUAAGC
Molecule: unclassified non-coding RNA, 378 nt
Filed under: plant metagenome
Description: partial contains 5.8S ribosomal RNA, internal transcribed spacer 2, and large subunit ribosomal RNA
Rfam family: 5.8S ribosomal RNA (bases 1-105)
Source: RNAcentral